CUUUUUACUCUCUGAAUUUUUUCUUUUUGAUUUUUCUCCCCUCCCUUUACUCUUUGUAAACCUAAAAUUACAGGCUUUAUAGGGUUUCAUUUGAUUCAUGCUCUU
Populus euphratica (Euphrates poplar) is the source of this 105-nucleotide long non-coding RNA. RefSeq lists it as uncharacterized. The record is from RefSeq and is a predicted model, not a curated record. The transcript has 3 exons. Lineage: Eukaryota; Viridiplantae; Streptophyta; Magnoliopsida; Malpighiales; Salicaceae.